RNAcentral lists this ribosomal RNA (440 nucleotides) under uncultured bacterium. RNAcentral's name for it is "partial 16S ribosomal RNA". It matches the Rfam family "Bacterial small subunit ribosomal RNA", at positions 338 to 795 of the family's 1533-position model. The record is from RNAcentral.
CCUACGGGAGGCAGCAGUAGGGAAUAUUGCUCAAUGGGGGAAACCCUGAAGCAGCAACGCCGCGUGGAGGAUGACGGUCUUCGGAUUGUAAACUCCUUUUGUUAGAGAAGAUAAUGACGGUAUCUAACGAGUAAGCAGCGGCCAACUCCGUGCCAGCAGCCGCGGUAAUACGGAGGGUGCAAGCGUUACUCGGAAUAACUGGGCGUAAAGAGCGCGUAGGCGGGAUAGCAAGUCAGAUGGGAAAUCCUAGGGGUUAAACAUAGAACUGCAGUGGAAACUGUUUGUCUAGAGUAUGGGAGAGGUAGGUGGAAUUCGUGGUGUAGGGGUAAAAUCCGUAGAGAUCAAGAGGAACACUGAUUGCGAAGGCGACCUGCUGGAACCCAACUGACGCUGAUGCGCGAAGGCGUGGGGAGCGAACAGGAUUAGAUACCCGGGUAGUC